GAUGAACGCUGGCGGCGUGCCUAAUACAUGCAAGUCGAGCGGACGGACGAGAAUCUUGCUUCUCUGAUGUUAGCGGCGGACGGGUGUGUAACGCGUGGAUACCCUCCCUAUAAGACUGGGAUAUCUUCGGGAAACCGGCGCUAAUACCGGAUGAUCUUUUGAUCCGCAUGGUUCAAAAGUGAAAUACGGUCUUGCUGUCUCUUAUAGCUGCAUCCGCGCUGCAUUAGCUAGUUGGUAAGGUAACGGCUUACCAAGGCAACGAUGCGUAGCCGAACUGAGAGAGGGAUCGGCCACACGGGAGCUGAGACGCGCACCAGAGUCCUAAGAGAGGCAGCAGUAGGGAACCUUCCGCAGUAGGCGAAAGCCUGGCGGAGCAACGCCGCGCGAGAGAUGAAGGUCUUCGGAUCGUAAAAAUCUGUUAUGAGGGAAGAACAUAUGUGUACGGAAAUGUGCACAGCGUGACGGUACUUAAUCAGAAAGCCACGGCUAACUACGUG
This 497-nucleotide ribosomal RNA is filed under the name uncultured bacterium. RNAcentral's name for it is "partial 16S ribosomal RNA". It matches the Rfam family "Bacterial small subunit ribosomal RNA", at positions 28 to 507 of the family's 1533-position model. The record is from RNAcentral.